CAGAGAAUAGUUUAAUGAAAAUUUUAAUUUUGGAGAUUAAAGAUGAAUAGAUAUAUUUUUCUCUGA
RNAcentral lists this transfer RNA (66 nucleotides) under Libellula angelina. Its description in RNAcentral is "tRNA-Pro". Lineage: Eukaryota; Metazoa; Arthropoda; Insecta; Odonata; Libellulidae. The record is from RNAcentral.